RNAcentral lists this ribosomal RNA (2930 nucleotides) under Shigella dysenteriae. RNAcentral's name for it is "bacterial LSU rRNA". It matches the Rfam family "Bacterial large subunit ribosomal RNA". The record is from RNAcentral. Lineage: Bacteria; Pseudomonadati; Pseudomonadota; Gammaproteobacteria; Enterobacterales; Enterobacteriaceae.
GGGUUGUGAGGUUAAGCGACUAAGCGUACACGGUGGAUGCCCUGGCAGUCAGAGGCGAUGAAGGACGUGCUAAUCUGCGAUAAGCGUCGGUAAGGUGAUAUGAACCGUUAUAACCGGCGAUUUCCGAAUGGGGAAACCCAGUGUGAUUCGUCACACUAUCAUUAACUGAAUCCAUAGGUUAAUGAGGCGAACCGGGGGAACUGAAACAUCUAAGUACCCCGAGGAAAAGAAAUCAACCGAGAUUCCCCCAGUAGCGGCGAGCGAACGGGGAGCAGCCCAGAGCCUGAAUCAGUGUGUGUGUUAGUGGAAGCGUCUGGAAAGGCGUGCGAUACAGGGUGACAGCCCCGUACACAAAAAUGCACAUAUUGUGAGCUCGAUGAGUAGGACGGGACACGUGGUAUCCUGUCUGAAUAUGGGGGGACCAUCCUCCAAGGCUAAAUACUCCUGACUGACCGAUAGUGAACCAGUACCGUGAGGGAAAGGCGAAAAGAACCCCGGCGAGGGGAGUGAAAAAGAACCUGAAACCGUGUACGUACAAGCAGUGGGAGCACGCUUAGGCGUGUGACUGCGUACCUUUUGUAUAAUGGGUCAGCGACUUAUAUUCUGUAGCAAGGUUAACCGAAUAGGGGAGCCGAAGGGAAACCGAGUCUUAACUGGGCGUUAAGUUGCAGGGUAUAGACCCGAAACCCGGUGAUCUAGCCAUGGGCAGGUUGAAGGUUGGGUAACACUAACUGGAGGACCGAACCGACUAAUGUUGAAAAAUUAGCGGAUGACUUGUGGCUGGGGGUGAAAGGCCAAUCAAACCGGGAGAUAGCUGGUUCUCCCCGAAAGCUAUUUAGGUAGCGCCUCGUGAAUUCAUCUCCGGGGGUAGAGCACUGUUUCGGCAAGGGGGUCAUCCCGACUUACCAACCCGAUGCAAACUGCGAAUACCGGAGAAUGUUAUCACGGGAGACACACGGCGGGUGCUAACGUCCGUCGUGAAGAGGGAAACAACCCAGACCGCCAGCUAAGGUCCCAAAGUCAUGGUUAAGUGGGAAACGAUGUGGGAAGGCCCAGACAGCCAGGAUGUUGGCUUAGAAGCAGCCAUCAUUUAAAGAAAGCGUAAUAGCUCACUGGUCGAGUCGGCCUGCGCGGAAGAUGUAACGGGGCUAAACCAUGCACCGAAGCUGCGGCAGCGACACUAUGUGUUGUUGGGUAGGGGAGCGUUCUGUAAGCCUGUGAAGGUGUACUGUGAGGUAUGCUGGAGGUAUCAGAAGUGCGAAUGCUGACAUAAGUAACGAUAAAGCGGGUGAAAAGCCCGCUCGCCGGAAGACCAAGGGUUCCUGUCCAACGUUAAUCGGGGCAGGGUGAGUCGACUCCUAAGGCGAGGCCGAAAGGCGUAGUCGAUGGGAAACAGGUUAAUAUUCCUGUACUUGGUGUUACUGCGAAGGGGGGACGGAGAAGGCUAUGUUGGCCGGGCGACGGUUGUCCCGGUUUAAGCGUGUAGGCUGGUUUUCCAGGCAAAUCCGGAAAACUAAGGCUGAGGCGUGAUGACGAGGCACUACGGUGCUGAAGCAACAAAUGCCCUGCUUCCAGGAAAAGCCUCUAAGCAUCAGGUAACAUCAAAUCGUACCCCAAACCGACACAGGUGGUCAGGUAGAGAAUACCAAGGCGCUUGAGAGAACUCGGGUGAAGGAACUAGGCAAAAUGGUGCCGUAACUUCGGGAGAAGGCACGCUGAUAUGUAGGUGAAGUCCCUCGCGGAUGGAGCUGAAAUCAGUCGAAGAUACCAGCUGGCUGCAACUGUUUAUUAAAAACACAGCACUGUGCAAACACGAAAGUGGACGUAUACGGUGUGACGCCUGCCCGGUGCCGGAAGGUUAAUUGAUGGGGUCAGCGCAAGCGAAGCUCUUGAUCGAAGCCCCGGUAAACGGCGGCCGUAACUAUAACGGUCCUAAGGUAGCGAAAUUCCUUGUCGGGUAAGUUCCGACCUGCACGAAUGGCGUAAUGAUGGCCAGGCUGUCUCCACCCGAGACUCAGUGAAAUUGAACUCGCUGUGAAGAUGCAGUGUACCCGCGGCAAGACGGAAAGACCCCGUGAACCUUUACUAUAGCUUGACACUGAACAUUGAGCCUUGAUGUGUAGGAUAGGUGGGAGGCUUUGAAGUGUGGACGCCAGUCUGCAUGGAGCCGACCUUGAAAUACCACCCUUUAAUGUUUGAUGUUCUAACGUUGACCCGUAAUCCGGGUUGCGGACAGUGUCUGGUGGGUAGUUUGACUGGGGCGGUCUCCUCCUAAAGAGUAACGGAGGAGCACGAAGGUUGGCUAAUCCUGGUCGGACAUCAGGAGGUUAGUGCAAUGGCAUAAGCCAGCUUGACUGCGAGCGUGACGGCGCGAGCAGGUGCGAAAGCAGGUCAUAGUGAUCCGGUGGUUCUGAAUGGAAGGGCCAUCGCUCAACGGAUAAAAGGUACUCCGGGGAUAACAGGCUGAUACCGCCCAAGAGUUCAUAUCGACGGCGGUGUUUGGCACCUCGAUGUCGGCUCAUCACAUCCUGGGGCUGAAGUAGGUCCCAAGGGUAUGGCUGUUCGCCAUUUAAAGUGGUACGCGAGCUGGGUUUAGAACGUCGUGAGACAGUUCGGUCCCUAUCUGCCGUGGGCGCUGGAGAACUGAGGGGGGCUGCUCCUAGUACGAGAGGACCGGAGUGGACGCAUCACUGGUGUUCGGGUUGUCAUGCCAAUGGCACUGCCCGGUAGCUAAAUGCGGAAGAGAUAAGUGCUGAAAGCAUCUAAGCACGAAACUUGCCCCGAGAUGAGUUCUCCCUGACUCCUUGAGAGUCCUGAAGGAACGUUGAAGACGACGACGUUGAUAGGUCGGGUGUGUAAGCGCAGCGAUGCGUUGAGCUAACCGGUACUAAUGAACCGUGAGGCUUAACCUUACAACGCCGAAGGUGUUU